GAAAGGCCCCUUCGGGGGCCGAGUAGAGUGGCGCACGGGUGAGUAACACGUAGGUAAUCUACCUCUGGGUGGGGAAUAACGACCGGAAACGGUCGCUAAUACCGCAUAAUGCAGCGGCACCACAUGGUGACAGUUGUUAAAGCGGGGGAUCGUAAGACCUCGCGCCUAGAGAUGAGCCUGCGGCGGAUUAGCUAGUUGGCAGGGUAACGGCCUACCAAGGCGACGAUCCGUAGCCGGCCUGAGAGGGCGGACGGCCACACUGGCACUGACAUACGGGCCAGACUCCUACGGGAGGCAGCAGUCGGGAAUUUUGGGCAAUGGGCGAAAGCCUGACCCAGCAACGCCGCGUGAAGGAUGAAGCUUUUCGGAGUGUAAACUUCAUAAGAAUGGGACGAAUAAGGAGGGGUUAACACCCCCUUUGAUGACGGUACCAUUUGUAAGCUCCGGCUAACUCCGUGCCAGCAGCCGCGGUAAUACGGGGGGAGCAAGCGUUGUUCGGAUUUACUGGGCGUAAAGGGCGCGUAGGCGGCGCAACAAGUCACUUGUGAAAUCUCCGGGCUUAACCCGGAGCGGCCAAGUGAUACUGUCGUGCUAGAGUGCGGAAGGGGCUACUGGAAUUCUCGGUGUAGCGGUGAAAUGCGUAGAUAUCGAGAGGAACACCUGCGGCGAAGGCGGGUAGCUGGGCCGACACUGACGCUGAGGCGCGAAAGCCAGGGGAGCGAACGGGAUUAGAUACCCCGGUAGUCCUGGCCUUAAACGAUGGAUGCUUGGUGUCCGGGGUUACAUAGUCCCCGGGUGCCGGCGCUAACGCAUUAAGCAUCCCGCCUGGGGAGUACGGUCGCAAGACUGAAACUCAAAGGAAUUGACGGGGACCCGCACAAGCGGUGGAGCAUGUGGUUUAA
Molecule: ribosomal RNA, 902 nt
Filed under: uncultured Bacillota bacterium
Lineage: Bacteria; Bacillati; Bacillota
Description: bacterial SSU rRNA
Rfam family: Bacterial small subunit ribosomal RNA
Source: RNAcentral